This 804-nucleotide ribosomal RNA is filed under the name uncultured Archangiaceae bacterium. Its description in RNAcentral is "bacterial SSU rRNA". It matches the Rfam family "Bacterial small subunit ribosomal RNA", at positions 100 to 882 of the family's 1533-position model. Lineage: Bacteria; Pseudomonadati; Myxococcota; Myxococcia; Myxococcales; Archangiaceae. The record is from RNAcentral.
CACGGGUGAGUAACACGUGGGUAAUCUGCCUGGAAGUCCGGGACAACCUGCCGAAAGGCUGGCUAAUACCGGAUAAGCCCACAGGGUCUUCGGACCCCGAGGGAGAAGAUGGCCUCUGCAUGCAAGCUAUCACUUCCAGAUGAGCCCGCGACCCAUCAGCUAGUUGGCGGGGUAAUGGCCCACCAAGGCAACGACGGGUAGCUGGUCUGAGAGGACGAUCAGCCACACUGGAACUGAGACACGGUCCAGACUCCUACGGGAGGCAGCAGUGGGGAAUUUUGCGCAAUGGGCGAAAGCCUGACGCAGCAACGCCGCGUGUGUGAUGAAGGUCUUCGGAUCGUAAAGCACUUUCGACUGGGACGAAAACCCGCUGGCUAACAUCCAGCGGUCUGACGGUACCGGGAGAAGAAGCACCGGCUAACUCUGUGCCAGCAGCCGCGGUAAUACAGAGGGUGCAAGCGUUGUUCGGAAUUAUUGGGCGUAAAGCGCGUGUAGGCGGCUUUGCAAGUCGGGUGUGAAAGCCCUCGGCUCAACCGAGGAAGUGCGCCCGAAACUGCAUGGCUCGAGUCCCGGAGAGGAUGGCGGAAUUCCCGAAGUAGAGGUGAAAUUCGUAGACAUCGGGAGGAACACCGGUGGCGAAGGCGGCCAUCUGGACGGACACUGACGCUGAGACGCGAAAGCGUGGGUAGCAAACAGGAUUAGAUACCCUGGUAGUCCACGCCGUAAACGAUGAGAACUAGGUGUCGCGGGUGUUGACCCCCGCGGUGCCGUAGCUAACGCAUUAAGUUCUCCGCCUGGGAAGUA